This 69-nucleotide transfer RNA is filed under the name Eupristina koningsbergeri. Its description in RNAcentral is "tRNA-Gly". It matches the Rfam family "tRNA". From Rfam's summary of the family: Transfer RNA (tRNA) molecules are approximately 80 nucleotides in length. Their secondary structure includes four short double-helical elements and three loops (D, anti-codon, and T loops). Lineage: Eukaryota; Metazoa; Arthropoda; Insecta; Hymenoptera; Agaonidae. The record is from RNAcentral.
ACUAAUAUAGUAUAAAUUAAUACAAUUAACUUCCAAUUAAUAAAUUUAUUUUAAAAAAUAAUAUUAGUA